GUGAACGCUGGCGGUAGGCCUAACACCUGCAAGUCGAACGGCAGCACCGUAAGAGCUUGCUCUUACGGGUGGCGAGUGGCGGACGGGUGAGGAAUACAUCGGAAUCUACUUUUUCGUGGGGGAUAACGUAGGGAAACUUACGCUAAUACCGCAUACGACCUACGGGUGAAAGCAGGGGAUCUUCGGACCUUGCGCGAUUGAAUGAGCCGAUGUCGGAUUAGCUAGUUGGCGGGGUAAAGGCCCACCAAGGCGACGAUCCGUAGCUGGUCUGAGAGGAUGAUCAGCCACACUGGAACUGAGACACGGUCCAGACUCCUACGGGAGGCAGCAGUGGGGAAUAUUGGACAAUGGGCGCAAGCCUGAUCCAGCCAUACCGCGUGGGUGAAGAAGGCCUUCGGGUUGUAAAGCCCUUUUGUUGGGAAAGAAAAGCAGCAGGUUAAUACCCCGCUGUUCUGACGGUACCCAAAGAAUAAGCACCGGCUAACUUCGU
This 490-nucleotide ribosomal RNA is filed under the name uncultured bacterium. RNAcentral describes it as "partial 16S ribosomal RNA". It matches the Rfam family "Bacterial small subunit ribosomal RNA", at positions 29 to 506 of the family's 1533-position model. The record is from RNAcentral.